UACGGAGGGUGCGAGCGUUAAUCGGAAUCACUGGGCGUAAAGCGCGCGUAGGCGGCUUUUCAAGUCAGGGGUGAAAUCCCACGGCCCAACCGUGGAACUGCCUUUGAGACUGUAGAGCUUGAGUGUCGGAGGGGGUGGCGGAAUUCCAGGUGUAGGAGUGAAAUCCGUAGAUAUCUGGAGGAACACCGGUGGCGAAGGCGGCCACCUGGACGACAACUGACGCUGAGGUGCGAAAGCGUGGGUAGCAAACAGG
This 253-nucleotide ribosomal RNA is filed under the name uncultured bacterium. RNAcentral's name for it is "partial 16S ribosomal RNA". It matches the Rfam family "Bacterial small subunit ribosomal RNA", at positions 524 to 776 of the family's 1533-position model. The record is from RNAcentral.